UUUACGGAGAGUUUGAUCCUGGCUCAGGACGAACGCUGGCGGCGUGCUUAACACAUGCAAGUCGAACGGUGAAGAGAAGCUUGCUUCUUGGAUCAGUGGCGAACGGGUGAGUAACACGUGAGCAAUCUGCCCUUGACUCUGGGAUAACUGCGGGAAACUGUAGCUAAUACCGGAUACGACCCUCGGAGGCAUCUCCUGGGGGUGGAAAGAAUUUUGGUCAAGGAUGAGCUCGCGGCCUAUCAGCUAGUU
RNAcentral lists this ribosomal RNA (249 nucleotides) under Microbacteriaceae bacterium. Its description in RNAcentral is "partial 16S ribosomal RNA". It matches the Rfam family "Bacterial small subunit ribosomal RNA", at positions 1 to 250 of the family's 1533-position model. The record is from RNAcentral. Lineage: Bacteria; Bacillati; Actinomycetota; Actinomycetes; Micrococcales; Microbacteriaceae.